CCUACGGGAGGCAGCAGUGGGGGAUAUUGCACAAUGGGGGGAACCCUGAUGCAGCGACGCCGCGUGGGUGAAGGAGCGUUUCGGCGCGUAAAGCCCUAUCGGCAGGGAAGAAGAUGACGGUACCUGACCAAGAAGCCCCGGCUAACUACGUGCCAGCAGCCGCGGUAAUACGUAGGGGGCAAGCGUUAUCCGGAUUUACUGGGUGUAAAGGGUGCGUAGGUGGUUCAGCAAGUUAGUAGCGUAAUUCCGGAGCUCAACUUCGGCACUACUACUAAAACUGUUGGACUUGAGUGCAGGAGGGGCAACUGGAAUUUCUAGUGUAGCGGUGGAAUGCGUAGAUAUUAGGAAGAACACCGGUGGCGAAGGCGAGUUGCUGGACUGUAACUGACACUGAGGCACGAAAGCGUGGGGAGCAAACAGGAUUAGAUACCCCAGUAGUC
This 440-nucleotide ribosomal RNA is filed under the name uncultured bacterium. Its description in RNAcentral is "partial 16S ribosomal RNA". It matches the Rfam family "Bacterial small subunit ribosomal RNA", at positions 338 to 795 of the family's 1533-position model. The record is from RNAcentral.